AAGCGUUGUUCGGAAUUACUGGGCGUAAAGGGCUCSUWGGCGGCCAACUAAGUCGGAUGUGAAAUCCCCAGGCUUAACCUGGGAACUGCAUCCGAUACUGGAUGGCUUGAAUCCGGGAGAGGGAUGCGGAAUUCCAGGUGUAGCGGUGAAAUGCGUAGAUAUCUGGAGGAACACCGGUGGCGAAGGCGGCAUCCUGGACCGGCAUUGACGCUGAGGAGCGAAAGCCAGGGGAGCAAACGGGAUUAGAUACCCCGGUAGUCCUGGCCCUAAACGAUGAAUGCUUGGUGUGGCGGGUAUCGAUCCCUGCCGUGCCGAAGCUAACGCAUUAAGCAUUCCGCCUGGGGAGUACGGUCGCAAGGCUG
Molecule: ribosomal RNA, 362 nt
Filed under: uncultured bacterium
Lineage: Bacteria
Description: bacterial SSU rRNA
Rfam family: Bacterial small subunit ribosomal RNA
Source: RNAcentral